RNAcentral lists this ribosomal RNA (253 nucleotides) under uncultured bacterium. RNAcentral describes it as "partial 16S ribosomal RNA". It matches the Rfam family "Bacterial small subunit ribosomal RNA", at positions 524 to 776 of the family's 1533-position model. The record is from RNAcentral.
UACGCAGGGCGCAAGCGUUAUCCGGAAUUAUUGGGCGUAAAGAGCUCGUAGGCGGUUUGUCGCGUCUGCCGUGAAAGUCCGGGGCUCAACUCCGGAUCUGCGGUGGGUACGGGCAGACUAGAGUGAUGUAGGGGAGACUGGAAUUCCUGGUGUAGCGGUGAAAUGCGCAGAUAUCAGGAGGAACACCGAUGGCGAAGGCAGGUCUCUGGGCAUUAACUGACGCUGAGGAGCGAAAGCAUGGGGAGCGAACAGG